UGCAAGUCGAACGGGACUUUCAGUGUAGCAAUACAUUGAAAGUUCAGUGGCGUAAGGGUGCGUAACACGUGGGAAAUCUGCCGAGAAGUGGGGGAUAGCUCGCCGAAAGGCGAAUUAAUACCGCAUGUGGUCAGUGAGGACAUCCUCGCGAAACCAAAGCCGGGGCAACCUGGCGCUUCUUGAUGAUCCCGCGGCCUAUCAGCUAGUUGGCGGGGUAAAAGCCCACCAAGGCUAUGACGGGUAGCUGGUCUGAGAGGACGACCAGCCACACUGGAACUGAGACACGGUCCAGACACCUACGGGUGGCAGCAGUCGAGAAUUUUUCUCAAUGGGGGAAACCCUGAAGGAGCGACGCCGCGUGAAUGAUGAAGGUCUUAGGAUUGUAAAAUUCUUUCACCGGGGACGAUAAUGACGGUACCCGGAGAAGAAGCCCCGGCUAACUUCGUGCCAGCAGCCGCGGUAAUACGAAGGGGGCUAGCGUUGCUCGGAAUUACUGGGCGUAAAGGGCGCGUAGGCGGAUAGUU
Molecule: ribosomal RNA, 524 nt
Filed under: uncultured bacterium
Lineage: Bacteria
Description: bacterial SSU rRNA
Rfam family: Bacterial small subunit ribosomal RNA
Source: RNAcentral